This 773-nucleotide ribosomal RNA is filed under the name uncultured Streptococcus sp. RNAcentral describes it as "bacterial SSU rRNA". It matches the Rfam family "Bacterial small subunit ribosomal RNA", at positions 28 to 776 of the family's 1533-position model. Lineage: Bacteria; Bacillati; Bacillota; Bacilli; Lactobacillales; Streptococcaceae. The record is from RNAcentral.
GACGAACGCUGGCGGCGUGCCUAAUACAUGCAAGUAGAACGCACAGGAUGCACCGUAGUUUACUACACCGUAUCCUGUGAGUUGCGAACGGGUGAGUAACGCGUAGGUAACCUGCCUGGUAGCGGGGGAUAACUAUUGGAAACGAUAGCUAAUACCGCAUAAGAACAUUUACUGCAUGGUAGAUGUUUAAAAGGUGCAAGAGCAUCACUACCAGAUGGACCUGCGUUGUAUUAGCUAGUUGGUGAGGUAACGGCUCACCAAGGCAACGAUACAUAGCCGACCUGAGAGGGUGAUCGGCCACACUGGGACUGAGACACGGCCCAGACUCCUACGGGAGGCAGCAGUAGGGAAUCUUCGGCAAUGGAGGGAACCCUGACCGAGCAACGCCGCGUGAGUGAAGAAGGUUUUCGGAUCGUAAAGCUCUGUUGUUAAGGAAGAACGUGUGUGAGAGUGGAAAGUUCACACAGUGACGGUACUUAACCAGAAAGGGACGGCUAACUACGUGCCAGCAGCCGCGGUAAUACGUAGGUCCCGAGCGUUGUCCGGAUUUAUUGGGCGUAAAGCGAGCGCAGGCGGUUAGAUAAGUCUGAAGUGAAAGGCAGUGGCUCAACCAUUGUAGGCUUUGGAAACUGUUUAACUUGAGUGCAGAAGGGGAGAGUGGAAUUCCAUGUGUAGCGGUGAAAUGCGUAGAUAUAUGGAGGAACACCGGUGGCGAAAGCGGCUCUCUGGUCUGUAACUGACGCUGAGGCUCGAAAGCGUGGGGAGCGAACAGG